Molecule: long non-coding RNA, 249 nt
Filed under: Nicotiana benthamiana
Lineage: Eukaryota; Viridiplantae; Streptophyta; Magnoliopsida; Solanales; Solanaceae
Description: long non-coding RNA (NBEN_LNC012869)
Source: RNAcentral
AAAAAACAAGCAGAGAACUCGUGGAUCAAACACCACAGAUUUCUCUACAAGCUACAAAUUCAAGCACUCAAGCUACAAGUUCAAGAUCUAGAACGUAGCCAAAUCAAAUACCAAGGCGUUCAAGAUCAAUUUACUUGUUCGUGAUCAAACACAAAUUCAAGUUCAAGGAGGAGAAUCAAAAUCAAGCUUUACAAGCCCUUGAAUCAAAUCAAAGUCAAGCUCAAAAUACUUAACAUUCUUGAAGAAUCA